RNAcentral lists this ribosomal RNA (468 nucleotides) under uncultured bacterium. RNAcentral's name for it is "partial 16S ribosomal RNA". It matches the Rfam family "Bacterial small subunit ribosomal RNA", at positions 28 to 507 of the family's 1533-position model. The record is from RNAcentral.
GACGAACGCUGGCGGCGUGCUUAACACAUGCAAGUCGAACGGAAAGGCCCUGCUUUUGUGGGGUGCUCGAGUGGCGAACGGGUGAGUAACACGUGAGUAACCUGCCCUUGACUUUGGGAUAACUUCAGGAAACUGGGGCUAAUACCGGAUAGGAGCUCCUGCUGCAUGGUGGGGGUUGGAAAGUUUCGGCGGUUGGGGAUGGACUCGCGGCUUAUCAGCUUGUUGGUGGGGUAGUGGCUUACCAAGGCUUUGACGGGUAGCCGGCCUGAGAGGGUGACCGGCCACAUGGGGACUGAGAUACGGGCCAGACUCCUACGGGAGGCAGCAGUGGGGAAUAUUGCACAAUGGGCGGAAGCCUGAUGCAGCAACGCCGCGUGCGGGAUGACGGCCUUCGGGUUGUAAACCGCUUUCGCCUGUGACGAAGCGUGAGUGACGGUAAUGGGUAAAGAAGCACCGGCUAACUACGUG